Molecule: ribosomal RNA, 254 nt
Filed under: uncultured bacterium
Lineage: Bacteria
Description: partial 16S ribosomal RNA
Rfam family: Bacterial small subunit ribosomal RNA
Source: RNAcentral
UGCGGAGGGGGCUAGCGUUGUUCGGAAUUACUGGGCGUAAAGGGCGCGCAGGCGGCUGCUCAAGUCAGGCGUGAAAGGCCUGGGCUCAACCCGGGAAUUGCGCUUGAGACUGGGCUGGCUUGAGUGCGGGAGAGGAUGGUGGAAUUCCCAGUGUAGAGGUGAAAUUCGUAGAUAUUGGGAAGAACACCGGUGGCGAAGGCGGCCAUCUGGACCGCAACUGACGCUGAGGCGCGAAAGCGUGGGGAGCAAACAGG